RNAcentral lists this ribosomal RNA (494 nucleotides) under uncultured bacterium. Its description in RNAcentral is "partial 16S ribosomal RNA". It matches the Rfam family "Bacterial small subunit ribosomal RNA", at positions 28 to 507 of the family's 1533-position model. The record is from RNAcentral.
GACGAACGCUGGCGGCGUGCUUAACACAUGCAAGUCGAACGGAAAGGCCUGCUUUCCCUUGUGGAUUGCGGGUACUCGAGUGGCGAACGGGUGAGUAACACGUGAGUGAUCUGCCCCCAACUUGGGUAUAAGCCUGGGAAACUGGGUCUAAUUCCCGAUAGGACUGCAGGGUGGUGCCUGUGGUGGAAAACGAUUUUCUAGUGGUUGGGGAUGAGCUCGCGGCCUAUCAGCUUGUUGGUGGGGUAAUGGCCUACCAAGGCGGCGACGGGAAGCCGGCCUGGGAGGGUGGACGGCCACAUUGGGACUGAGAUACGGCCAAGACUCCUACGGGAGGCAGCCGUGGGGAAUAUUGCACAAUGGGCGGAAGCCUGAUGCAGCGACGCCGCGUGGGGGAUGACGGCCUUCGGGUUGUAAACUCCUUUCGACCGCGAGGAAGCCACCUGGUUGGAAGGGUGGUGACGGUAGUGGUAGAAGAAGCACCGGCUAACUACGUG